AUGGUCGAUGAGUGUUUGUUGCUCACAGCGGUGGUGAUGGUGGUGGUGGUGUGGCUGCUUGGGAUUGACGAUGGUUGUUCGGUGGUGUUCUUUGGGGUUCGGCGGCGGUGCUUUUUGCGUCGUAGGGAAGCCAUCUGUUUCCCCUCGCGAAGGUGUAUCGCCCUGGUGCUGUGCUCAAGACCCUUCCCGCGGUUGCCAAGGUGGUGCGGCAAGGAGGACCUAGCUUCCAUGGAGAUGGAGAUGGAGAUGGAGAUGGAGAUGGAUGGGAAGAGCAACGGCGUGACCAAGGUGUGUGCAGUGGGGCAUUUUGUGUGCUUGAACUGUCGCGACAAGCUCCUGGAGACAAAGGAGAACAAGGUUUGGGGUGUGUGCUCCAGGGACGUCUCGACCCGCUGCCAUGACAUGGAGCGUGUCGUCGACUCCAUCAUCGUGCCAUGCUCAUAUGCCGUGCAUGGGUGCGGCGACACAAUCGCCUACCACAAGAAGAGGGCGCACGAGGAGGGCCAUUACCAGGCCUCAACGCUGGAUACGAUCAGGAGCACGUCGCUUUCUGACAGACUGCCGACAAACUACUUCCUCACCGUUCCCAAGGCUUGCCGUGGAGGUGGCACCCGUGUCGUGCUUAGCGUGACAAUUGAUACAGAGAUGGUGUAUGGAGACGAUGACGAACUAGAGGAGGAGGAUGAGGACGAUGAGAGCUACAACAAGGAGGAAGAUGAGGACGAGGACAACGAUGAAGACGAAGAUGAUGAGACUAGCGACGAGGAUGAUGAGAGCUACAACAACAAGGAGGAGGAGGCACAGGAGGAUGAGGAUAGUGAUAACCAUGAGGAUAAUGAGACUAGCGACGAGGAUGACGAAAUUUGGGAGGAGGUUAGGCACAACGAUUACUAUUGA
RNAcentral lists this ribosomal RNA (897 nucleotides) under Triticum aestivum (bread wheat). RNAcentral describes it as "partial small subunit ribosomal RNA". Lineage: Eukaryota; Viridiplantae; Streptophyta; Magnoliopsida; Poales; Poaceae. The record is from RNAcentral.